GUUCUGGGGGCUGGACAACUGAACUUAUUGGAUGAGGCUGGACUACCUGAAAAAGAAAUAAGGGUGGGCAGUAUAUCAGUCAAGGCUUUCCCAAGGAAACAGAACAGGUAGUGUAACAAGAUGAUUAAGAUCUGAGACUCUGGAGUAAAACAGAAGGAUACAAGUCCCUACUCUGGCACUGUGGAUUAUGCAUUUUCUAAUUUGCAAAAAGGAUAAUCUAAAUGUCCAGAAGGUUGGGAGCUGGUGUGAGCUUACACACUUUGUAGGAGGCAGAAGCAGGAGCUGAAUCUGGGCAUUUGAUUCAAGAAUACAUGUGUCCCUACAGAUGCCCAAAUUUUUGAUUGGAAAAGUUGCAAGAAUGCAAAUGCAAAUGAUGGUCUUGGAAUGUGGUUGUUUCUCUGAAGAGCAGGAGAAUGUAAUAAACCCCAAGUGAAAGUGACUUCGAUGAUGAAAUGAGGCAUCCCAGGGUCUAAGCAGCAGUCUCUCACGUAUUGCCAACGCGAAGACAGAAGCCCCUCUUGGCUCCUGUUGCCAUAAGGAGAGAAUACGAAAACCCCUGCAGAUAUGCCACCAAAAACAUAGUGGUAGACCAGAGGCGUGGGAGAGCGCAGAGAGACCGGGUGCAGGCGCCAGGAGCAAAAGAAGCCGGCAGGCAGGAAGCAGAGCAGAAGCCCGGCUGGUAGACAGGUGGAAACCCAACCCGAACACCCCACGCUCGAGGUCGCCAGCGGCAGAGUCAAAGGAAGGAUAGAGGUAGGAAGGCGCGGCGCCCUAAAGAUGCCCCGGGCACGGCGCACGAGUAUCAGCACCCGGGAGCUUAGAGCGAGCGCGCGGGGUCCCAGCAGAGGGAACACCAGAGAGCCCCGGUUACCUGUGCUGCCUCCGCUCUGGCUGCCCCUGUCAGGG
Molecule: long non-coding RNA, 906 nt
Organism: Marmota monax (woodchuck)
Lineage: Eukaryota; Metazoa; Chordata; Mammalia; Rodentia; Sciuridae
Exons: 7
Source: RefSeq, a predicted model, not a curated record